CCUACGGGAGGCAGCAGUGAGGAAUAUUGGUCAAUGGGCGGAAGCCUGAACCAGCAAAGUAGCGUGCAGGAUGACGGCCCUACGGGUUGUAAACUGCGUUUAUACGGGAAUAACGCGCCUUACGUGUAGGUCUUUGCAUGUACCGUAUGAAUAAGGACCGGCUAAUUCCAUUACAUCAGCCGCGGUAAGGCAGAAGGUGCGGGCGUUAUCCGGAUUUAAUGGGUUUAAAGGGAGCGUAGGCCGCAUGUCAAGCGUGCUGUGAAAUGUCCGGGCUCAACCCGGGCCUUGCAGCGCGAACUGGCGUGCUUGAGUCCGCGGAAAGCAGGCGGAAUUCGUUGUGUAGCGGUGAAAUGCUUAGAUAUGACGAAGAACCCCGAUUGCGAAGGCAGCUUGCUGCAGCGGAACUGACGCUGAUGCUCGAAAGCGCGGGUAUCGAACAGGAUUAGAUACCCUUGUAGUC
RNAcentral lists this ribosomal RNA (460 nucleotides) under uncultured bacterium. RNAcentral's name for it is "partial 16S ribosomal RNA". It matches the Rfam family "Bacterial small subunit ribosomal RNA", at positions 338 to 795 of the family's 1533-position model. The record is from RNAcentral.